Molecule: ribosomal RNA, 468 nt
Filed under: uncultured bacterium
Lineage: Bacteria
Description: partial 16S ribosomal RNA
Rfam family: Bacterial small subunit ribosomal RNA
Source: RNAcentral
GACGAACGCUGGCGGCGUGCUUAACACAUGCAAGUCGAACGGAAAGGCCCUGCUUUUGUGGGGUGCUCGAGUGGCGAACGGGUGAGUAACACGUGAGUAACCUGCCCUUGACUUUGGGAUAACUUCAGGAAAUUGGGGCUAAUACCGGAUAGGAGUUCCUGAUGCAUGGUGGGGGUUGGAAAGUUUUGGCGGUUGGGGAUGGACUCGCGGCUUAUCAGCUUGUUGGUGGGGUAGUGGCUUACCAAGGCUUUGACGGGUAGCCGGCCUGAGAGGGUGACCGGCCACAUUGGGACUGAGGUACGGCCCAGACUCCUACGGGACGCAACAGUGGGGAAUAUUGCGCAAUGGGCGGGAGCCUGAUGCGGCAACGCCGCGUGCGGGAUGACGGCCUUCGGGUUGUAAACCGCUUUCGCCUGUAACGAAGCGUGAGUGACGGUAAUGGAUAAAGAAGCACCGGCUAACUACGUG